RNAcentral lists this ribosomal RNA (495 nucleotides) under uncultured bacterium. Its description in RNAcentral is "partial 16S ribosomal RNA". It matches the Rfam family "Bacterial small subunit ribosomal RNA", at positions 28 to 507 of the family's 1533-position model. The record is from RNAcentral.
GACGAACGCUGGCGGCGUGCCUAAUACAUGCAAGUAGAACGCUGAAGGAGGAGCUUGCUUCUCUGGAUGAGUUGCGAACGGGUGAGUAGCGCGUAGGUAACCUGCCUGGUAGCGGGGGAUAACUAUUGGAAACGAUAGCUAAUACCGCAUAAGAGUAGAUGUCGCAUGACAUUUGCUUAAAAGGUGCAAUUGCAUCACUACCAGAUGGACCUGCGUUGUAUUAGCUAGUUGGUGAGGUAACGGCUCACCAAGGCAACGAUACAUAGCCGACCUGAGAGGGUGAUCGGCCACACUGGGACUGAGACACGGCCCAGACUCCUACGGGAGGCAGCAGUAGGGAAUCUUCGGCAAUGGACGGAAGUCUGACCGAGCAACGCCGCGUGAGUGAAGAAGGGUUUCGGAUCGUAAAGCUCUGUUGUAAGAGAAGAACGAGUGUGAGAGUGGAAAGUUCACACUGUGACGGUAGCUUACCAGAAAGGGACGGCUAACUACGUG